CCGAGCGGUGGUCGACGAAGGCGACGACGUCGCCGCUCGCGGCCGCGAGCCCGGCGUUCCGGGAGGCGUUGAUGUUCCGCUCGGGGAGUUCGAG
RNAcentral lists this transfer RNA (94 nucleotides) under Halarchaeum rubridurum. RNAcentral's name for it is "tRNA-Ala". Lineage: Archaea; Methanobacteriati; Methanobacteriota; Halobacteria; Halobacteriales; Halobacteriaceae. The record is from RNAcentral.